CUGCAGCCCGAGUGGUGGUCGAUAUUAUUGAGCCUAAAGCGUCCGUAGCCGGACCAGUAAAUUCUUGGGUAAAUCGGGCAGCUUAACUGUCCGACUUCCGAGGAGACUGCUGGUCUUGGGACUGGGAGAGGUCAGAGGUACUCCAGGGGUAGGGGCUAAAUCCUGUAAUCCUUGGGGGACCACCAGUGGCGAAGGCGUCUGACGAGAACGGAUCCGACGGUAAGGGACGAAACCCUGGGUCGCAAACCGGAUUAGAUACCCGAGUAGUCC
Molecule: ribosomal RNA, 270 nt
Filed under: uncultured archaeon
Lineage: Archaea
Description: partial 16S ribosomal RNA
Rfam family: Archaeal small subunit ribosomal RNA
Source: RNAcentral